RNAcentral lists this long non-coding RNA (766 nucleotides) under Homo sapiens (human). RNAcentral describes it as "HSALNT0351587". Lineage: Eukaryota; Metazoa; Chordata; Mammalia; Primates; Hominidae. The record is from RNAcentral.
UAUACUAAGCACUCUGGGACAUACACUUCUGAUGGCCCUGCUCAAAUAACUUUGAGACCAUACUGCUGGACUAAGUUAGAAUUUCCAGAUUUCCAAAACUCUGAUGGAGAAGCUGUUGGGUGCAUGAUAUUGCUAACCUAAUAUCAAGCGGACAAGAAGUAAUUCUGUAAGACUGAAUGAAAUGAUGAAAAAUGAUUAUGGAUUUGGAAUAUUACUGAUGAAUUUGGAAUAUUACUGAUGAUUUAAUGUUCUAUUUCCUUUUUUCUCUUUUAAGCUACAUAUAAUUCAUAAAAAAUUUAGUAAAUUAUGAUUUUGUAAACAGAAAUGAAACAUUUUUUUCUUCUUGCCUCCUGUCUCCAGAAUUCAGAAACUCUUAAGUAUUCUUAUUUUCAUGGCAAUAUAAUUGUUUGCAUAGGUUUCGUAAGAAUCUGUCCUCCUGGUAACAAGCAUAAUUAGAAACAUUGAUUAUAUAACCAAGACUUUCACUGGAAUAUCAUAUUUGAGUUUGACAUGCACAGAAUCAAAUAUGACCAGACAGUUUUAAGGAAUGAAGUUGACUUUAUGGAGUCAAUGCGAACAAAGCCCUCUUGGGAAAGCCAUCCGAAUGCCUGGCUUAUAGGAUUCCCAGCCUUAGAGUUGAGUAAGGAAAGUCACUUCCUGGCAGGCCCAAGAACAUUAAAAUAUUUUGAGAACCUCAAGAAGAGAGGAAUUCAUCAGCAGUACAUAUACAGCACUAAAUGCACACAAGAGAAAGCAGGAAAGAUCU